UACAGCGGCGCACGGGUGAGUAACACGUGGACAAUCUACCUCGAAGUGGGGGAUAACUUCGCGAAAGUGGGGCUAAUACCGCAUAAUCUUCUUUUGCCGAGGUGAAAGGAGGAAAGGUUUACCGCUUUGAGAUGAGUCUGCGGCCCAUCAGCUAGUUGGUAGGGUAACGGCCUACCAAGGCGACGACGGGUAGCUGGCCUGAGAGGGUAACCAGCCACACUGGAACUGGAACACGGUCCAGACUCCUACGGGAGGCAGCAGUGGGGAAUCUUGCGCAAUGGGGGAAACCCUGACGCAGCGACGCCGCGUGGGUGAAGAAGGCCUUCGGGUUGUAAAGCCCUGUCGCAGAGGAAGAAAAGGCAACUUGACGGUACUCUGUGAGAAAGCACAGGCUAACUCCGUGCCAGCAGCCGCGGUAAUACGGAGGAUGCAGGCGUUAUCCGGAUUUAUUAGGUUUAAAGGGUGUUCAGGCUGCCUGGUAAGUCAGGGGUGAAAGUCGGUUGCUCAACGAUCGAAUUGCCUUUGAAACUGUCAGGCUCGAGUAUGGAUGCGGUAGGCGGAAUGUGUAGUGUAGCGGUGAAAUGCAUAGAUAUUACACAGAACACCGAUUGCGAAGGCAGCUUACCAAACCAGCACUGACGCUGAAGCACGAAAGCGUGGGGAGCGAACAGGAUUAGAUACCCUGGUAGUCCACGCCGUAAACUUUGCUCACUCGCUGUUGGCGAUAGACAGUCAGCGGCCAAGGGAAACCGAUAAGUGAGCCACCUGGGGAGUACGGCCGCAAGGUUGAAACUCAAAGGAAUUGACGGGGGCCCGCACAAGCGGUGGAACAUGUGGUUUAAUUCGAUGAUACGCGAGGAACCUUACCUGGGCUUAAAUGUGAAGUGCAUUGAUUGGAAACAAUCAUUUCCUUCGGGACCCUUUACAAGGUGCUGCAUGGUUGUCGUCAGCUCGUGCCGUGAGGUGUCGGGUUAAGUCCCAUAACGAGCGCAACCCCUAUUGUUAGUUACCAGCGCGUGAUGGCGGGGACUCUAGCGAAACUGCCGGUGUAAACCGCGAGGAAGGUGGGGAUGACGUCAAAUCAGCACGGCCCUUAUGUCCAGGGCUACACACGUGUUACAAUGGCCGGUACAGCGGGCAGCUAGGCAGCGAUGUCAUGCUAAUCCCGAAAGCCGGUCCCAGUUCGGAUUGGAGUCUGCAACCCGACUCCAUGAAGGUGGAAUCGCUAGUAAUCGCGCAUCAGCCAUGGCGCGGUGAAUACGUUCCCGGGCCUUGUACACACCGCCCGUCAAGCCAUGGAAGUCUGGGGUGCCUGAAGGCCGUAACCGCAAGGAGCGGUCUAG
This 1343-nucleotide ribosomal RNA is filed under the name uncultured organism. RNAcentral's name for it is "bacterial SSU rRNA". It matches the Rfam family "Bacterial small subunit ribosomal RNA", at positions 91 to 1460 of the family's 1533-position model. The record is from RNAcentral.